CGGGACGGGUGAGUAAUGUCUGGGAAACUGCCUGAUGGAGGGGGAUAACUACUGGAAACGGUAGCUAAUACCGCAUAACGUCGCAAGACCAAAGAGGGGGACCUUCGGGCCUCUUGCCAUCGGAUGUGCCCAGAUGGGAUUAGCUAGUAGGUGGGGUAACGGCUCACUAGGCGACGAUCCCUAGCUGGUCUGAGAGGAUGCCAGCCACACUGGAACUGAGACACGGUCCAG
This 231-nucleotide ribosomal RNA is filed under the name uncultured bacterium. Its description in RNAcentral is "partial 16S ribosomal RNA". It matches the Rfam family "Bacterial small subunit ribosomal RNA", at positions 100 to 334 of the family's 1533-position model. The record is from RNAcentral.